Molecule: microRNA precursor, 102 nt
Filed under: Marmota monax (woodchuck)
Lineage: Eukaryota; Metazoa; Chordata; Mammalia; Rodentia; Sciuridae
Source: RNAcentral
UUAAAAGUGAAGAAGUCAAGGGGAAUAAUGCACAGGCAUAAAAAGUUCCCUCAAGGGAACUGUGCAUUAUUCCUCUUGACUUCUUCACUUUUAAGAUACGGA